RNAcentral lists this ribosomal RNA (1149 nucleotides) under Cronobacter sakazakii. RNAcentral's name for it is "bacterial SSU rRNA". It matches the Rfam family "Bacterial small subunit ribosomal RNA", at positions 31 to 1173 of the family's 1533-position model. The record is from RNAcentral. Lineage: Bacteria; Pseudomonadati; Pseudomonadota; Gammaproteobacteria; Enterobacterales; Enterobacteriaceae.
GAAAGGGCGGCAGCCUAACACAUGCAAGUCGAACGGUAACAGGGAGCAGCUUGCUGCUCUGCUGACGAGUGGCGGACGGGUGAGUAAUGUCUGGGAAACUGCCUGAUGGAGGGGGAUAACUACUGGAAACGGUAGCUAAUACCGCAUAACGUCUACGGACCAAAGUGGGGGACCUUCGGGCCUCAUGCCAUCAGAUGUGCCCAGAUGGGAUUAGCUAGUAGGUGGGGUAACGGCUCACCUAGGCGACGAUCCCUAGCUGGUCUGAGAGGAUGACCAGCCACACUGGAACUGAGACACGGUCCAGACUCCUACGGGAGGCAGCAGUGGGGAAUAUUGCACAAUGGGCGCAAGCCUGAUGCAGCCAUGCCGCGUGUAUGAAGAAGGCCUUCGGGUUGUAAAGUACUUUCAGCGGGGAGGAAGGCGUUGUGGUUAAUAACCACAGCGAUUGACGUUACCCGCAGAAGAAGCACCGGCUAACUCCGUGCCAGCAGCCGCGGUAAUACGGAGGGUGCAAGCGUUAAUCGGAAUUACUGGGCGUAAAGCGCACGCAGGCGGUCUGUUAAGUCAGAUGUGAAAUCCCCGGGCUCAACCUGGGAACUGCAUUUGAAACUGGCAGGCUUGAGUCUCGUAGAGGGGGGUAGAAUUCCAGGUGUAGCGGUGAAAUGCGUAGAGAUCUGGAGGAAUACCGGUGGCGAAGGCGGCCCCCUGGACGAAGACUGACGCUCAGGUGCGAAAGCGUGGGAGCAAACAGGAUUAGAUACCCUGGUAGUCCACGCCGUAAACGAUGUCGACUUGGAGGUUGUGCCCUUGAGGCGUGGCUUCCGGAGCUAACGCGUUAAGUCGACCGCCUGGGGAGUACGGCCGCAAGGUUAAAACUCAAAUGAAUUGACGGGGGCCCGCACAAGCGGUGGAGCAUGUGGUUUAAUUCGAUGCAACGCGAAGAACCUUACCUGGUCUUGACAUCCAGAGAAUCCUGCAGAGAUGCGGGAGUGCCUUCGGGAACUCUGAGACAGGUGCUGCAUGGCUGUCGUCAGCUCGUGUUGUGAAAUGUAGGAUAAGUCCCGCAACGAGCGCAACCCUUAUCCUUUGUUGCCAGCGGUUCGGCCGGGAACUCAAAGAAGACUGCCGGUGAAUAAACCGGGAGGAAAG